RNAcentral lists this long non-coding RNA (205 nucleotides) under Vigna radiata. Its description in RNAcentral is "long non-coding RNA (VRAD_LNC015169)". Lineage: Eukaryota; Viridiplantae; Streptophyta; Magnoliopsida; Fabales; Fabaceae. The record is from RNAcentral.
GGGAAAGCUUGUUGCUGCCGGAAAUUACUCAUUUGUCUAGAUGAAUUAUUCUGGCUCUGCCCAAUACUAGGGUGAUUUUUCCAACCUUGGCUAGAAUUACCUUGGUUGAAAUUUCCUUGCUUGUAUUGAAAUUGGGCUCCCAUAUAAUUAACAUCCUCCUGCAUCUCCUCAAUGAAAGCACAUUGACCAUUGAUAUGGUCGCCAC